CAGCGCCACGAGUGGCAUACACUUUUAUUGGGCCUAAAGCGUCCGUAGCCGGUCAUGUAAAUCUUUUGUGAAAUCAUAGUGCUUAACACUAUGGCGUGCAGAAGAGACUGCUUGACUAGGAACCGGGAGGAGUCAGAGGUAUUCUGAGGGGAGCGGUAAAAUGUGAUAAUCCCCGGAGGACCACCUGUGGCGAAGGCGUCUGACUAGAACGGAUUCGACGGUGAGGGACGAAGGCCAGGGGAGCGAACCGGAUUAGAGACCCGAGUAGUCC
RNAcentral lists this ribosomal RNA (271 nucleotides) under uncultured archaeon. Its description in RNAcentral is "partial 16S ribosomal RNA". It matches the Rfam family "Archaeal small subunit ribosomal RNA", at positions 477 to 747 of the family's 1478-position model. The record is from RNAcentral.